Molecule: non-coding RNA, 7693 nt
Organism: Anas platyrhynchos (mallard)
Lineage: Eukaryota; Metazoa; Chordata; Aves; Anseriformes; Anatidae
Source: RefSeq, a predicted model, not a curated record
ACUUGAUGAUCCUUAAGGGUCCCUUCCAACUCAGGAUAUUCUAUGAUUCUAUGAUACUCUAUUUUGUCAUUACUUGGUACUUCUGAUGACAAGAGGAUGUGUGAGGAGCCUUUAAGGUGUAGUAUACCAGGCCUAGGAAUAAGGUAGGGCAAUAAGGUUGUUCCAGAGCCAGACUAAAAGUCCAUCCUCAUCCAGGAUUGAAGACAGGAGGGAUCAUGGCAGUCACACAACUCCUCUAUUCCCUGUAUUGAUCUCUGCUUUUUUUUUUUUUUUUUCCAGAAGUUUUCAGGGUGCACACUCCCUUUUUGCUAGUUUGCAGACAACACGUUUUAACAACCAGUCUUGAAAAAUGCUGCACUACUAAUAGGUAAGAGUAGAAGAGGAAGCAAAUGUAUAUAAAAUGCUCAGACUGAUUUCUGGCAAAUACCACGCCUGAUCCAUAUUGCAGUAUUGCCAACUUUAAGUGUUCCAAAAUCACAUGUGAUGAGAGUGGCUUAAAAUAAUCAAAUUGGAGUUCCUUUUUAUUUGUUUUCUGGCUUAAAAACAAUCAAUGUGAGGUUCUUUUUAUUUGCCUUUGUUUUCUUAGCAUUCAGGGUAUGCUCAGAUAAUGUUUUCUCAGAAACCACGUGUGCUAGAAAGCUGCUUUCUCUUUUCCAAAUGAAAACUAGUAUUUCUCAAGUCAAGCUCCAGACAUAUGCUAAGGCUUCACAUGCAAAACAGCACAAGAUAUGGGAGUAGAUAACUAGAAAUGCAACACUUCAUUUUUUCCUCUCAUAUUUUGUUUUGCUCGUUGCAAUAUGAAAUCCAGGGUAGGACAGAGAAACAAUGAAGUGGAUAUGUUAAUAUGAAUUUAAAAAAUGAGAACAGAGAGUUAGGGAAGGAGAGGUAACAACAAAAUAGAGUAAAUAGAAAACAGAGAAGGGAAAGCAAGAGUGGUAACAGAGGAGGAUGGCAAUAUCAACAAUGGGAGAGAUUUAGGAAGAGAAAACAAAGCAAACCAACAGGAAAUAUCAUUAUAAAUAUGCCUAUGCUUUUGAAGUAUGGUGGCUGCUUUCAGGCUCUGGAAGCUAUCAGAGCUCUAAAUAGCUAUGUAUCUGUAAUUAAUGAUCUGAAGCUGUGCCAAUAUUUAACCAAGUAUUAGCCCUGCCACAGCAAAGGGGCAUGUGGGACUUUGGAGGCCAGGUGUUUCUAAGCUUUUAGAUGCUGCACACUCGUGUUCUGUAUAUAUGUGUCUUGGGAAGGAUGGGGGCAAAGUUCCCUGGAAUUCAGAGAUCUCCAAGACCGUUGUGCUGGAGGCAUACACUUAAAAUUCUUAGGUCUGAAAUUAAGCAUAAAAGGUCUGUACCCUCUUAACAUGAGGGUGGUCAAACACAACAGGCUUCCUAGUGAGGUGGUUCCUCAUGCCUGUCAGUGUUCGAGGCAUUCGGAAAACACUUUCAGUAAUAUACUUUAACUUCUGGUUAGCCCUGAAGUGGUCAGGCAGUUGGACUACAUGAUCUUUGAAGGUUCCUUCCAACUGAGCCGUCCUAUCCUAUCCUAUCCUAUCCUAUCCUAUCCUAUCCUAUCCUAUCCUAUCCUAUCCUAUCCUAUCCUAUCCUAUCCUAUCCUAUCCUAUCCUAUCCUUUAUUCUGGCAGGUAUGUAAAUCUGUGGAGGGCUGUUAGAAUCUGCUGUUCUGUAGCCUUUGAUACCUAACUUUCAAAUAGCUUGAAGGAAUAGUUCAGCAAGACAGCCUGAAGUCUGUCUAUUGCUUCAAAGUAGAAGAUUGUUCUUAUUUUUAGAAUUUCUUUCCCUUUUCCCCAUCUAUAUACCUUUUCCUAAUCUGUCUCUUGGGGAUUCCCAUCCCUUUCUCUUGAUGUAAAGUUGUCUUUUCAUUGUUCUCUUUCUUUUACUUUUAUUAGACUUACUAUGUUUCUGUCUCUGCCACAGAAGUCUGAGACAUCCUACUUAAUGUACAUUGAACUGCCUCUUGUCCUCUUUUAAAUAUGUAAUUUAAUUUGCAAAAUUUCUGACUCUAGCAUAAUCUCUUUGUAUCCAUCUACUCUUUCUUACACCUUGGGAAAUAGUCGUAUCCUUUUUAGUCUCUGUUUAGCAACUCCAUGUAUCCUGUUUCUAUAUGGAACUAAGAGCAAUUAAUAAGUUAUGCUGUUCAGGAGGCUGGAUUUGCCUUGGCUGAAAUCGGUGAGCCAUAUAUAAUCUAGGGUAAGUAUCAGGAUUUUUUUUUUUCCAGAUUUCAAAUGCAAAGCCCAAAUUUAAAGAAGGCGCCUUGUACAAUUUACUUGUAUAGAAGUGUUUUCACUGAGGGCUGAAUACAAAGACAGUGAAGUCCAAAGAUAACCAUAGGAGCACUGAUACUGUGAGUUGGAUGCGAAGCUCAGAUUGCUCUUGCAGUACCACUCUGACUGAUGAAAGAAGGCUAAAAUACUGAAAAAAUAAUCUUCUGUCUUGCAUUCAGAGGCUCGGAACAUUUGCACGUGCAUUCAUGUGCAAAACUCUCUUUUAGUCAUCUCUCUUCCCCUAAGACUGCUUGUCUUAGUAGUAAAUACUGGUUGUGCUCCAAAUAUUGGCUCACCACCUGGGCCAGAAAAAAUACCAUGGGAAAUGUAUGGACUUUGAAAAAGACUUUAAAAAAAUAGUCAGAUGGAGAAAAGGUAGAUUGAUAAAGUAUGCUAUGGCCACAGAAUAAAGCAGAAUAAGUAGGUCUUAUUUGGGGCACUAUCCAUUGGUCGAUAUUUCAUUGUUAAAAUUUGCUUUUGGUAAAGUGACUUGGUCAGUGGUUUCUCUGUUACUGAAAUUAGAUAAUAUUUAUUGUAUAAUUAAAUGUUGGUUUAUUUAUUCAAAUAUUUUGCCAGAUAGCUUAUUAAAUAAGCUUCCUAUUUUAUAACCCCUUUGUUGGCAAAUAUUGAGCUUUAAAAGUUACUACAUUUCAUACUAUUUUUUUUUUGUACAUUUAAUGAAAUAUAUCAAGUGUGCAUGAGGUACACAGAAAAAAUAUCAAAGUUCUUCGAGUGGGAAGCCUUGGCCACAAACCUAAUUUUGGAGGUAACAGCAUAUGAUGAGGUCUGCAACAUUUGAUCAAUGUCUGGUAAUCACCUAUUGCCAGGUCCAGAGUUGCAAAAAUGAAGUAGGAAGGGAAAAAUAUCUCCUUUUUUCUCUGCCUCCCUCUUUCUCAUACUACCACAGAAGUACAUACAUCCACCCAUGCAUGUGCAUGUGCAUGCACACAUACACGUACACACAAAAAGCUUCUGUCUUGAUUCAGUUUGCUCAGCUUCUGUGUACAAUUAGAAAGUGCAGAUGUUCUGGACUGCAGGGUGGUGUCCAAUUUCAUUUGAAAAUGAAAUAUAUGAUAAAUAUUAAAAAGAUUUUUUAUAUUAAAAAGAUGUUCAUUUAAAAGAUUAAAAGCCAUCUUCACAGUAACAGUAUUUUAUCCCUGAAGUGGCCCUGGAGUCCAGAUUUAUUACAAAUUUCCUUCAUACUUCUACUUAUAGAGCUAAAAUUAUCAAUUCUUUGAGGAUCCACAGAUGAUUUUUCUUUUACCAAGUAAGAGGGUAUACUUCUAUUCUUUUUUUAAAAUAAAUAUUUUAGUAUCAAAGGUAUGGUGCCUACUUCCACUGCUAAAGGUGUAUGUAUUUAUGUCAUUUUAAGCUUAAAGUAUAUUUCCAGUAUUCUUAAUCUAAUAAUAAUAUUCUACUAUGUCUGUGGCAGGUAAUAAAAAUGUUGGUCACAAUGUUAGUGGCCUUGCAACAGUGAAUGCAUCAAUUACAAUUUUUUAACUUUAUUAAACUCAAACACAUUUGCAAGAGUGUACCAGUUCAAAGGGCUGGCAUUAGCUCAUAGACUUUCAAUAGUGGUUCAUGAUUUUGGCACAGAUUAUGUUUUUUCUCCACCCUGGCUGUCAUUGUGUCUUGUGGAGCGUAUUUUAGCAGCUGUUUAAGUGUUAGUCAGCUUCUGAGGACUAGACUGAACCUCAGGAAUGGAAGUGGCCUUUGGACAUUGUAGAUGGUAUUUGGCAGGUAUUGUGAAGAUGGUUUGAAUAUUGUGUACCUAUGUAUUCCUGACACUUUAAACUGAAGUGUUGUGUUGAAAAAGAGCAAAUGCAAGAUGUUGUUCCCAAAGUGUAGCCAAUGAAGCCCUUGCAAAAAUUAUAGCAGAUAGGUCUGCUGUUUUAAGUUGCUUAGGUAUUCAAUUUUCUUUAAAACAACAUUCUUAAUGUCAUCAUACAGCCCAACCCAACUGCACUCUCCUAAAACUGCCAAAUGCCUGACAGCCAUCAUCUUGCACGGGACCUUAGCAUUGGUUCUGAAUCAACUGCACUUUUCUUGGCCCUGCGUCUCUCCAGGAAACUUGGCUUUGCUCCAUCAGCUUUCCCCUAUGGAAAAGCUAAGUGUCAGCAUGAGACUCAGGAGCAGAAGAGUUAGAGAAAAGAUGCAGAAGAGACUAAGAAGAACCUGAUUAACAUUUUCUGAAAAGAUGGAAAGCCACACUGUGGGUAGGGAUAUAGGUGUCAGAUUGAGAAAACAAAAAUUAGGCUUCCCUAUCUUCACCCAGAGCCAAAUAGCAUGACCUUUUUCUUUCUAACCUCCUUCUCUCUGUGCUUCAGUGUCCCAAACUUCCUCAGUAGCUUGGUACCAACCAUAUCUGCAUUAGCUUUUCCAGUCUACUCUCUAUCAUGCUUAUUUCUUCAGCAAUCUUUAAAUAAUAGUUCCCACAUAAAGCUCAACAGCUUUGCACUCCCAAAUGCUAAUUUCCACACUCCCCAAGUACCUGCAGAACUUGGAGAGAUCACAAAAAUGUGUGAAAGAGUUCAGACUGAAAGAUCCAUGUGCUAGCUGGAGGGAAGGAAAGGAAGGGAAGGCCAGGAGUAUGGAAGGGUGUUUCUUUCCCAAGUAUGAACAAGUGUUUAUAAGAAGAAAGACUCAAAGUCUCUUCAGCAUUUGCCUUUAUGAUAUUUCUAAUGCCUAACCAAACAGUUAUACUGACCUUAAUAAUAGCAUGAGGAGCUUGUGCAAGGAGGGAAAGCAUUUCAAAGAUGUCAUGUCAACAACCAUGUCUUCAUCUCACUUCAUCCACUCUUUAGGAACAUGCCUACAUUACUUUAAGUGCUUUCACAUGUUUGACUAAUGCCAUUUUCCUCAAGUAGAAUUAGGAAAACAAAACUUUAGAGUUUUCAUAAAACUCUACUUAAAAAUAUUACUGCUUAAGUGCAAAGCAGUAGCAUUAGUUCUUGCAUAUGCUCUGCAGUAUUCAAAAUGCUGGAGGUCCCUGUACUCUUGUUGGCUCUGCUGUUCAUCCCAGCUUAACUUCAAAUUCCAGGCACUGAGGUGGAUAACUUUCUCAGCUGCACUUCACUCAAAGGGGCACUUGGUCAAAUCCGCAGCAGCUGGGAACCUGUGAAGAGGAUCAAAGCCACAGGCUGAGCUGCAUAAGCAUGCAGUAACUAAACUUUAGUUGACCAGUCAAUAUUGUAAAGCACUGGGUUUUAGGUAGGCUAAAUUUCAGAGGUCUGCUCUUUAAAUGACUACAAAUGGACUUGUAACCACCGCUGGGAGGCACAAAAAUAUCAAGUCAGUUUAGUCAAUGUGUAGGGUUUUUUUACCAUUCAAUGUAGUUGACUUUUAAAUGCCAGCUUGGCUUUAUGGCAAAGCCAUUGAUACAACAUCCAGUUCCUGUGUCACAUGCAGCACUAGAGGGCAGAGCUAACAGCUAAUGAGAAAUUAAGGAUGCCUUAAGGUCAAGGGAACAUAUGUUAUAAAGCAGUUAAAUUAAAUUAUAGGAAAUAGCUGGUGAACCAGGCUGAGACACAAAAGCCAAAAUAUGAGGUGACUGGUAAAAUAAAUGGCAAAUUAAUGGUAGCGCUGGAAGCAUGACAAAUACUACAACCAUGGCCUUGCAUAUCCCGUCAGACCCUGGUUGAGAGCAUUUGCAGCUCUGAGAGACACUUUCCAGCUUUCUGCACACUCACUUCUUGUGUAUUUACUAGCUUCUGUUUGCAAACGGAAGGACUAAACAUGUCACUCUGUGAAAUAAAGCUGAGGUGCUGGAGUGCAGCUCUGCUGCAGGAAGAGAAUGCCCUGGAAUGUGCCACAUGCUGGGGAAAGUGACCUGAGAGGAAGCAUCCUGCAAAUUUGUCAGGAUCAGACUCUUCCUGCCUGCCAUUUUCCAUGGGCUUGAUGCCAUGGGUCUCGCAAAUGACUGUAAAGUACUGAAGGUGGAAGUGGAUAGAGGUAUGUGGGGAUCUUUGAUGAAUACUGGAGUCACACUGUUUUUUGUCAGCCCAAGAAUGCAGAGAGCCAUGCAAUCCUUCACACCUGCACCACAGAGACUAAGCACAGCUUGCGUGGUCAAGAGGACUUCAUUCUAAGUCAGCGUUUGGGGGCUAGAAGCUUGGAUACAGCUGCAGAACAAGUUUGGAUCCCCAUAUACAAUGGAAACCCAGAGGAUGUUGUCCUUUCCCACAACUGCUUUGGCCAAACUCAUGGGGACAGCAAAGAGCCAACAAAGUCAUCAGCCCUAUGACAAGUAUCAAGGAAAAAUGGAACUACUGCUGUGGUCAAGUGAAGUCACUACUAAUGUCUGUGUUUUGCUGUAACUACUUACUCAGUUUCUUGGAAUUUCUUUGCUAUCUUACUCAAAGUAUGUAGAUUCAACGUCUUCUCUUCUCUUUGUGUCCACUGAUUUUUAAAACAGGUAUAAAAAGUAUUGGUGUACUAGAAGGUUAAAAACAUAUUUUAUGCCAUCAGAUAAGUCACCAGGAAAAAAAAAUAAAAAUAAAUUAAUUAAAGAAUACUACAAUUUUCUAUUUCCUUUUCUGUCACGUUGUAUAUUAUUUUUUGCUGUACAGCAUAUACAAUUUCCCUUGAAACAAAAUGCAGUUAUGUAGUUACAAUACAACAAAGUCCCCUGUUAAGGACAGAGUGAGCAAGAAGCUGCGCUUCCUUCUAAUUCCAGAGGUGUUCCUUACAGUUAGCAAGGCAGUGUAGAGGAACCUGCUGCUAUCUGUGUUUUUUGAAUAAACAGAAAAUUCAAAGCUACCUGUCUGAAAGCUUUCAGUGUGUAUAUUCACAUCAUGCAUGGGUAUAAAGGAGUGGAAGAGGCUAAGAUUCUUUAAAAGUCAGCUGGAUCAGAGCAUUAACUACCCAAAUUCAUCAAAAGUUAUAUUUAAAGCUUCCAGUGCCAUGGUGUUGCUUGCUUGCUUGAAUAACAUAUAGGGAGGUUCCUGAGAUUGAGUCAUUCCACUCAGACUGAAAGUAACAUUUGGCAGGUCCAUCAUUAUGAGAAUACAUAUGCAGCUGUUUAUAAGCACCUUGUCCUUUACAGCACUGGGGCUAUUGUGGUGGGGAGGGUCAGCUUCUUUCUCCUGGUCUUGGUGGCUCAGACUUACUAACAGAGUGAGUAUUUUUGCCCAGCUUUGAAUUUCUAAGGGAAAAAAUUUUAAGAAGCUGAAAUAAAAGCAAAAUAGGAUGGGAAUAUGAAAACAAUAUUUCUGAGCUCUGCUGAGUUCCAACAGCAACACAAAACUAUUCUGUUUACAUAUUUAGUGAAAUAAAUCCUGGCAUCACCACUGGUAUAAUUGCUCUUAUUGUGGGGGUUUCUUUUGAGUUUUCUUUGGACAAAAUAAGGACAAAUGGAAAUAACGGACAGAUGUCAUUGCUGGAAGUGCUAAUGGGAGCUGCAAACUCCUCUCAUUAACUG